This 761-nucleotide long non-coding RNA is filed under the name Numida meleagris (helmeted guineafowl). Its description in RNAcentral is "lncRNA (ENSNMEG00000005570.1)". The record is from RNAcentral. Lineage: Eukaryota; Metazoa; Chordata; Aves; Galliformes; Numididae.
AAGGAUACAGAGUCUGUAGGCAAACGUUUUCCACACUGCAAACACAGCCUGGAGAUCUGUGCUUCACUGCUGUAUAGCAACCACUCUGUAUUACAGGGUGUAUCCAAAUUCAGAGGAAAGCUUCAGGCCAAUUGUUUUUUGAGGAACUUUCCAAAGGACUGCUCUGCAUCGUUUAGGAGACUGAGAGUGCCACGUCGCUCGGUAGUUUUAAAUGCUGAGAAAACCAUCAUGGUUACUUGUGCAGUUCUUAAUGUGGUUCUGGGUGGUAACUUUGGAUUGCCAACAUUGUUUUUUUUCCCCCAGCUGCAAGGACAUACCAUAAUUGUACUUGGCUGCAACAACGACAGGAGUGCAAAACUGGAUCACAGGGACCCUCUAGUGUUCCCAGCCUGCAUGCUGCAGCACCUUCUGCCUGAGUAAGGCAGUUAGACAUUGCUCUGCAGUCUGCUGAGUUAAGUAUCACUACUUCUGCUGCUUUUUUUUUUUUUUUCUUUUCUUCCCCUUUGGGGCUUCAAAUGCUUAUCAGGUAAAGAAAUCAAAUCCUGCUGAAUGCUGUGGGUCAGCAGAAUCGUUUUUCAGCUAUUCUGAUUGAUAAAAUGAGAAAAGUAUUUUGAGCCAUCUUUUCAGCAUCCUGCUCCAAAGAAAACAAAAGCUGUACUUUUCAACAUAGUCACAAAGAUAAUGCUUUUCACCUAUUUUUUUUUUAAGCAAAGCAGAAACUGCUUUGUGUCAAGAAUAAAAGUGUUAGACUUCAAAAGGCC